CCCGGCCCCUUCAGACACCAGCUGAGCCCUGUCCCGCUGGUGUCUGUUGGCCGCAGU
RNAcentral lists this non-coding RNA (57 nucleotides) under Sus scrofa (pig). Lineage: Eukaryota; Metazoa; Chordata; Mammalia; Artiodactyla; Suidae. The record is from RNAcentral.